This 85-nucleotide transfer RNA is filed under the name Candidatus Riesia sp. GBBU. It matches the Rfam family "tRNA". Rfam says of the family: Transfer RNA (tRNA) molecules are approximately 80 nucleotides in length. The record is from Rfam by way of RNAcentral. Lineage: Bacteria; Pseudomonadati; Pseudomonadota; Gammaproteobacteria; Enterobacterales; Enterobacteriaceae.
GCCGAAGUGGCGAAAUUGGAAAACGCAGUUGAUUCAAAAUCAACUAUCUUAAAAAGAUUUAUCGGUUCGAGUCCGAUCUUCGGCA